ACUGACAAAGUUCUGGAACACAACACACCAGACAUCACAGUUGUGGAAAAGAACAAGGUUUGGAUCAUUGAUGUUGCCAUCCCAGGUGACAGUCGCAUAGAUGAAAAACAACAGGAAAAACUCAGCCGCUAUCAGGACCUCAAGAUUGAACUUCAAAGACUCUGGCAGAAACCAGUACAGUACAGGUGGUCCCGGUGGUGAUGGGCACACUGGGUGCCGUGCCAAAAGAUCUCAGCCGGCAUUUGGAAACAAUGGACAAAAUUAUGAUCUGUCAACUGCAAAAGGCCACCCUACUGGGAUCUGCGCGCAUCAUCCGAAAAUACAUCACACAGUCCUAGACACUUGGGAAGUGUUCGACUUGUGAUUUUGUGAAACGAAAUCCAGCACAUCUAUCUUGUUUGCUGUGUCAUACAAUAAAAUAAUAAUAAUAAAUAUGGAUCUGGGAAUCUGACCUGAGCCUGGGAGAGGGAAUUGCCUUUGCAUUAGAUCUGAUCGGUGGAAUUGGGGGUUAAUGUAAUAAUAUUAUUAAUAACAAUAGUACUCUGGGGAAGAUCCAAACAUUUUAAAAGUUGGUGGGCUAAAAGGGAUCAAAAUGCCCUCCGUGUGUGGUGGUGGUGGUGGGGGGGUGAGCCUCAGAAGCCCUCCCAUUGCCGCCAACGGCACGAAAAUGUUCAUGUUUUUCGUUAGCCAGAUGAAAAUUUGUGUCGUAUAGGUGGCCCAUUUUCGUUAGCGGGACACGAAUACGAAAAUGAGAUGACACGAAUGAAACUACACAAAACGAACAGCAAUUCCACAUGAAUGCACAACUCUAAUAAAGCUCCCACUUCACUUUUGCUCUGUUUGUGCCAUCAUCUCCCAGAAUCAUGGUUUCUCCUUCAACUUUCCAGCUUUCUUUUCUUCUCCAAACAGGCCCAAAUGUCUUUGAUCUCAGCUGAUAAGGUUAAUUCUCUCUACAUGGAGCAAGUUGCCAUGGGUAGCUUUUGUACCCACAAAGAGUUAACAGCCAAAUAGGUUCUAUCACAUUUCCCCUUAUUGUUCACCUUUGGGUUUUGGCAACACGGCACAAAGGAUAAAUUGAAGCAGUGGUGAAUAGAAGGAAGGAGACAAUCGGGAGCUGACAGGAGACAGUCUACUGAGCAGGCAACCAUUGUAUCUUUUGCAAAAGUCCCGGCUCUCUAAAUGGGAGAUGAAAUCGAAGACCUGGUGAUAAAUAAAAAGACAAAAACCAAGGACAGUACAAUGGAAAUGUUACAAUUGGGUUUGUGAGAGUGAAAGCGAAAUACAGAAACCAGUCCCAAGUAGAACAGAAGGUAUACGCUGGAAUUCCUUGGCCAAAUCUGUACAGCCAAAAAUACCUCCAUCUGCUCCACAUUGUAUUCUUUCUUAAAGUAAAGGUAAAGGUUUUCCCCUGACGUUAAGUCCAGUCAAGUCUGACUCUGGGGGUUGGUGUUCAUCUCCAUUUCUAAGCCAAAGAGCCAGCGUUGCCCAUAGACACCUCCAAGGUCAUGUGGCCGGCAUGACUGCAUGGAGUGCCGUUACCUUCCCACCAGAACAGUAUCUAUUGAUCUACUCACAUUGGCAUGUUUUUGAACUGCUAGGUUGGCAGGAGCUGGAGCUAACAGCGGCCGCUCACGCCACUCCCGGGGUUUGAACCUGGGACCUUUCGGUCUUCAGCUCAGUGCUUUAACACACUUCGCCACUGGGGCUCAAACAUAAUAUUUGGCCCAUACGUAUUCUUUCUUACUUGGUGGCAAUUGCAUGUACAGCUCUAUAGGCUGCGGCCUCAACUUUUGCAGAUGGUUUUUUUCCCCAUGGAGAUGCAGGUUGGAAAGAUUACAUGAUGGCCAAGAUCCUGUAUGGCACAGCAUUGUGGUCUCUUGGUAUGUGCUAGAGUUUGCUUUCAGGACCUGUCCAUGGGUGCCAAAUGCUGAAGUCCCAUUAUAUACAAAAACAUAACAUA
This 1960-nucleotide long non-coding RNA is filed under the name Anolis carolinensis (green anole). RNAcentral's name for it is "lncRNA (ENSACAG00000044758.1)". Lineage: Eukaryota; Metazoa; Chordata; Lepidosauria; Squamata; Anolidae. The record is from RNAcentral.